Molecule: transfer RNA, 82 nt
Filed under: Strigamia maritima
Lineage: Eukaryota; Metazoa; Arthropoda; Chilopoda; Geophilomorpha; Linotaeniidae
Description: tRNA-Ser for anticodon UGA
Rfam family: tRNA
About the family: Transfer RNA (tRNA) molecules are approximately 80 nucleotides in length.
Source: Rfam by way of RNAcentral
GCUGCGAUGGCCGAGUGGUUAAGGCGUUGGACUUGAAAUCCAAUGGGGUUAACCCGCGCAGGUUCGAAUCCUGUUCGCAGCG